Molecule: ribosomal RNA, 465 nt
Filed under: uncultured Klebsiella sp.
Lineage: Bacteria; Pseudomonadati; Pseudomonadota; Gammaproteobacteria; Enterobacterales; Enterobacteriaceae
Description: bacterial SSU rRNA
Rfam family: Bacterial small subunit ribosomal RNA
Source: RNAcentral
CCUACGGGCGGCAGCAGUGGGGAAUAUUGCACAAUGGGCGCAAGCCUGAUGCAGCCAUGCCGCGUGUGUGAAGAAGGCCUUCGGGUUGUAAAGCACUUUCAGCGGGGAGGAAGGCGGUGAGGUUAAUAACCUCAUCGAUUGACGUUACCCGCAGAAGAAGCACCGGCUAACUCCGUGCCAGCAGCCGCGGUAAUACGGAGGGUGCAAGCGUUAAUCGGAAUUACUGGGCGUAAAGCGCACGCAGGCGGUCUGUCAAGUCGGAUGUGAAAUCCCCGGGCUCAACCUGGGAACUGCAUUCGAAACUGGCAGGCUAGAGUCUUGUAGAGGGGGGUAGAAUUCCAGGUGUAGCGGUGAAAUGCGUAGAGAUCUGGAGGAAUACCGGUGGCGAAGGCGGCCCCCUGGACAAAGAUUGACGCUCAGGUGCGAAAGCGUGGGGAGCAAACAGGAUUAGAUACCCGAGUAGUC